Molecule: long non-coding RNA, 934 nt
Organism: Panicum virgatum (switchgrass)
Lineage: Eukaryota; Viridiplantae; Streptophyta; Magnoliopsida; Poales; Poaceae
Exons: 4
Source: RefSeq, a predicted model, not a curated record
CCUGUCUAAUUGAGCCAGCAGCCCAGCACCGAACCACCUCUUUCCUUUUGCACCCGUAGAAAACGAUGCCCAAAAUCCUGUUGCGGCGGCGGCCGCCGCUGCCGAUGACUCCAUGCAGGAUGCAGAUCCCGCACCUCGCCGCUGCAGCCCUCGAAUCGUCAAUCAGCAGCAUCUUGGGUUCAUCGUCCCACCCCUUGGUCAGCAGCGCUACCCACCAAUGGUAGGCACCGACAUUGCUGCAUCACGGACUCAUGGUGGCCGUCGUUCUUGGUGCACUGGUGGCCCCUAAUCCCCAUCCGCAUAGUGGGGACAAGAUCCUGAGCCGGAUUGACCGCUAUUGUUGCCGCUUCGCACGUACUACACACGUCAGAUAACACGGAGGUUCGCUGAUUGCCAAAGCUAGAUGACGAAUCUGGGCAAGUACAUGAGAUGUUCCUGGCAUCACCGCACCAAAUUCUCUGACACAUUCAACACCAAGCAAUAUUUUGUGGCAGUGCAAGCAUGUAUUAUUUCACAGAUUGAGAGCCAUGGAGAGGAGGAUCUGAUUUUUUCAGUUGAUUAGGAGCGUCAUUGACAGUUUCACUAUUUUUGGUUACUCUAAAUGAAUGACCAGUUACAUGUCAUUGAUUCUGAUGUGAUUCUCGUGACGCUGCGGCGAGCAAGGAACUGACAUUGCUAGUCCUAUGAUGUGCACCUAAAAAGACUAUGUGUUUCAGUGUUAGAUAGAAUGUGCAAGCAAAGAAAUUCAGAUUGUAUCAUUUUUCAGUAUUUUUUGGCUCCUAAUGCUCUAAUUACUUUGGAGGAUGGCACAUGUAGUUUUUACAAUGUGGAGUAGGGCCAUGAUAUAUUGCAACAUGCAAGACUGAAUUUUGUAAAUAUGUUAUUGCAAGUAUAUGUGAGAAGAAGGUUAUGGUAAUUCUGUAGAGGCACUAUA